RNAcentral lists this ribosomal RNA (403 nucleotides) under uncultured bacterium. Its description in RNAcentral is "bacterial SSU rRNA". It matches the Rfam family "Bacterial small subunit ribosomal RNA", at positions 29 to 459 of the family's 1533-position model. The record is from RNAcentral.
AACGAACGCUGGCGGCAUGCCUAACACAUGCAAGUCGAACGAAGUCUUCGGACUUAGUGGCGCACGGGUGCGUAACGCGUGGGAAUCUGCCCUUGGGUGCGGAAUAACUUCUCGAAAGGGAUGCUAAUACCGCAUAAUGUCGUAAGACCAAAGAUUUAUCGCCCAAGGAUGAGCCCGCGUAAGAUUAGCUAGUUGGUGGGGUAAAAGCCUACCAAGGCGACGAUCUUUAGCUGGUCUGAGAGGAUGAUCAGCCACACUGGGACUGAGACACGGCCCAGACUCCUACGGGAGGCAGCAGUGGGGAAUAUUGGACAAUGGGCGAAAGCCUGAUCCAGCAAUGCCGCGUGAGUGAUGAAGGCCCUAGGGUUGUAAAGCUCUUUUACCCGAGAUGAUAAUGACAGUA